RNAcentral lists this long non-coding RNA (1706 nucleotides) under Nicotiana tabacum (common tobacco). Its description in RNAcentral is "long non-coding RNA (NTAB_LNC000350)". The record is from RNAcentral. Lineage: Eukaryota; Viridiplantae; Streptophyta; Magnoliopsida; Solanales; Solanaceae.
CAAAAUCCACACUCCAGAUGUCCGACCAUGUCUUCGUGGAGACUAUAUAUAUAUAAAAAAACGCAAAAGCAAUUAAGCAAAAAUAUACCUAUAUAUUUACAACUCUAGGAAAUGAUUUUAACAUGAAAGUAUACGAGGAAUAUUGAGCCAGGGCAUCAUGCCAAGAAUGGUAACAGUGCAGCAUGAUUUCAAGGCAACAUUCUUGAGAGUCCAUUCAAGAGGUUCAAUGGAGAAUUCUUUUAAUGCAUCCAUAACUAUAAGCACAUGUUUAGGAACAUCUGAUGACCCCAUGAGUGUCAGUUGAAAGUUGAAAUGUAUUUUCUUCCCCAAGUUGUUCUCUUCUAUAUUAGUAGCCAUGGCCUCCAUUUUAAUUAUUUCUUUUCUUUUUUUUUUUUUGAAGGAGAACGGAAGGGAUUUGCUCAAGGGCUUUCAGAUAGUUAUAUAGAAGUUUUCAGGAGCUGAAGAAGAGGAAGAAUGAAACAGGAAUAUAAUUUGUUCGAUGUUAACAAGAAAUGCUUUAUAAAACCUAUGAUGUAAAAGAACAUCAUGCAAAGAAGCCAAAUAAGUUGCCUGGUUUGAGGUGAUCUCCUUUCUCUUUGUUUAUUGGAGAUUCUUGGAUCCCAACUCUUUCUUACGACAAGCUCAAAAAUAACUCUGAACUAAGCACGUAUUUUACUCCUAAAACAAAUCUAACACAUAGGAAAGCUCCAUUGGUUUUCUGCAUUCUAAAGAGGUUACAUCUUUUUUAUUAGUGGUUUCUUUUGCACAACCAGUAAUUUGAAGUUACAAUUAUUUUUUGUCUCAAAAUUCUAAAACUUGAUUAUUCAAAUAUUCAAGUUUUAGAUAUUAACCACAAGUAGGCAUUCUGGUUUUGAAAGCGCGAGAUUUGGACAACUUUAAGUUUUAAAAAAACUCCUAACUUUACUCAAAGACUAAUUAGAUAUUGAGAAUUUGUGUCAACUAGUUUGGAAUUAAUUUAUGAAAUUUAACAAAAUUUAUGAAUGAAUAAAUUAGUGGCACUUAUGUAGUACAGAAAUUAAAAGUUCCUACAAAAUCUCGCUAGGUAUAUAAGAGAUUAUAAUUCUCAACUGUGAGAAUAUAACAUAAAACUCUUACUCUGCACUAUACAGUGGAACUCGGAAAUAUAAACAACAAAAUAACAGCUGCUAUUAUCUAAAAACUACCCCUCAUGUUUGUUUGAGGAUACAGAUCAAGACCCUAUUCCAUUGGUUCAGAUUUUCCAGUUAAAAAUUUCAUGAGAUACCAAAAUUAUUAGUGUUAUUGCCAAAUGUAACCUGCUCAUCUUAGGCUUCCAGCCGUUACAGUACGAAACACAGAGCCAAGGCUAGACCUCCGGCGACCGGUAGAACUACUAUCAUCUCUACUUGGAGAUACAUCCAUUCUUCUCCUUUUCUUGUUAACAGAACUUCCACUGUGUGACCCGCCCAUUGCAGCUAGUAAUUGCUGGGCUCUAGACCCACGCAUGCUUUUCUUUAUCAGGGUACACGCCUGCUUUCUUUCCAUAUUCUGCUCUAGCUCCUUCGGCAGUUGCUUUUUGCAGGAAACCCAGUCUGCUGUUCUUAGAUGAGGACGGGGAAUAUGGUAAUCAUUUUUUGCAAAUGAAAACCAAUGAUCUCGCACCAGCUUCUCUAUAUUCACUAUAGGCAACAAGUCUAUAAAAAAAAAUAGAAGUGCAAGAUGAGUUU